GCGAGCGUGGCGAAAUUGGUAUACGCGCCAGAUUUAGGUUCUGGUGUCGCAAGACGUGAGAGUUCGAGUCUCUCCGCUCGCACCA
Molecule: transfer RNA, 85 nt
Filed under: Gammaproteobacteria bacterium
Lineage: Bacteria; Pseudomonadati; Pseudomonadota; Gammaproteobacteria
Also listed under: 3 other names
Description: tRNA-Leu
Rfam family: tRNA
About the family: Transfer RNA (tRNA) molecules are approximately 80 nucleotides in length. Their secondary structure includes four short double-helical elements and three loops (D, anti-codon, and T loops). Further hydrogen bonds mediate the characteristic L-shaped molecular structure. tRNAs have two regions of fundamental functional importance: the anti-codon, which is responsible for specific mRNA codon recognition, and the 3' end, to which the tRNAs corresponding amino acid is attached (by aminoacyl-tRNA synthetases). tRNAs cope with the degeneracy of the genetic code in two manners: having more than one tRNA (with a specific anti-codon) for a particular amino acid; and 'wobble' base-pairing, i.e. permitting non-standard base-pairing at the 3rd anti-codon position.
Source: RNAcentral